This 270-nucleotide ribosomal RNA is filed under the name uncultured archaeon. Its description in RNAcentral is "partial 16S ribosomal RNA". It matches the Rfam family "Archaeal small subunit ribosomal RNA", at positions 477 to 747 of the family's 1478-position model. The record is from RNAcentral.
CAGCACCUCAAGUGGUCAGGAUGAUUAUUGGGCCUAAAGCAUCCGUAGCCGGCUCUGUAAGUUUUCGGUUAAAUCUGUACGCUCAACGUACAGGCUGCCGGGAAUACUGCAGAGCUAGGGAGUGGGAGAGGUAGACGGUACUCGGUAGGAAGGGGUAAAAUCCUUUGAUCUAUUGAUGACCACCUGUGGCGAAGGCGGUCUACCAGAACACGUCCGACGGUGAGGGAUGAGAGCUGGGGGAGCAAACCGGAUUAGAUACCCGAGUAGUCC